RNAcentral lists this ribosomal RNA (274 nucleotides) under uncultured bacterium. RNAcentral describes it as "partial 16S ribosomal RNA". It matches the Rfam family "Bacterial small subunit ribosomal RNA", at positions 523 to 796 of the family's 1533-position model. The record is from RNAcentral.
AUACGGAGGGGGCUAGCGUUGUUCGGAAUUACUGGGCGUAAAGCGCGCGUAGGCGGAUCGUUAAGUCAGGGGUGAAAGCCCGGAGCUCAACUCCGGAACUGCCCUUGAUACUUGCGAUCUCGAGUCCGGGAGAGGUGAGCGGAAUUCCUAGUGUAGAGGUGAAAUUCGUAGAUAUUAGGAGGAACACCAGUGGCGAAGGCGGCUCACUGGCCCGGUACUGACGCUGAGGUGCGAAAGCGUGGGGAGCAAACAGGAUUAGAUACCCUAGUAGUCC